GGGGCUGCCUGGUUUUGACUGCGGGUAGAAGGAAUGCGUAAGCAUGCAGUGCAUUGUCUGAUACGCACUUAAAUCUUAUCGGGUAACCUAUAACUGGCGAGAAUAACUACGCUCUUGCUGCCUAAUCGAAUCAUAGUAGAUUACGCUUAAUCCUGACACAAGGUGUCCGGACAAGACAUCGCUCGAAAGCUACGUCCUGAGGCGUUCGAUACAGCGGUGUGGUAAAAUCGGGAAUAGUCAUGGACGGCCUCGCUUCCGUGAUGAAAUCAAAGAGGCUAAGGUGAUGGUUGGUGGCUUCGGUCUUGUCAUCACACGAAAAUGAAGGCGAAGAUAAGCAUGUAGAAAGCGGAUUGUUUCCUCGUUAGGACGAGGGUUCGACUCCCUCCAGCUCCACAC
This 396-nucleotide transfer-messenger RNA is filed under the name Paludibacteraceae bacterium. It matches the Rfam family "transfer-messenger RNA". Rfam says of the family: Bacterial tmRNA, also known as 10Sa RNA or SsrA, is named for its dual tRNA and mRNA-like properties. Its role is to liberate the mRNA from a stalled ribosome. Lineage: Bacteria; Pseudomonadati; Bacteroidota; Bacteroidia; Bacteroidales; Paludibacteraceae. The record is from RNAcentral.